This 247-nucleotide ribosomal RNA is filed under the name uncultured bacterium. Its description in RNAcentral is "partial 16S ribosomal RNA". It matches the Rfam family "Bacterial small subunit ribosomal RNA", at positions 523 to 769 of the family's 1533-position model. The record is from RNAcentral.
AUACGUAGGUGGCGAGCGUUGUCCGGAAUUACUGGGUGUAAAGGGAGCGUAGGCGGGGGUUUAAGUUGGAUGUGAAAUACCGCGGCUCAACCGCGGGGCUGCAUCCAAAACUGGACUUCUUGAGUGAAGUAGAGGCAAGCGGAAUUCCUAGUGUAGCGGUGAAAUGCGUAGAUAUUAAGAGGAACACCAGUGGCGAAGGCGGCUUGCUGGGCUUUUACUGACGCUGAGGCUCGAAAGCGUGGGGAGC